AACCUAUGGUGAGGGCAACUUCUCAAAAGGUGUUUAUCUCUCCCAUGCAUCUUAGAGUGUUUCUAAAUCCAUCUGUACGAAAGAAGAAAUAUCAUUACAUAAUUU
RNAcentral lists this small nucleolar RNA (105 nucleotides) under Gossypium barbadense (sea-island cotton). Its description in RNAcentral is "Plant small nucleolar RNA R71". It matches the Rfam family "Plant small nucleolar RNA R71". From Rfam's summary of the family: R71 is a member of the C/D box family of snoRNAs containing the C (UGAUGA) and D (CUGA) box motifs. Multiple nearly identical copies of this snoRNA have been identified in Arabidopsis, and it is thought to function as a 2'-O-ribose methylation guide for 18S ribosomal RNA. The record is from Rfam by way of RNAcentral. RNAcentral also lists the same sequence under 2 other names. Lineage: Eukaryota; Viridiplantae; Streptophyta; Magnoliopsida; Malvales; Malvaceae.